This 465-nucleotide ribosomal RNA is filed under the name Vreelandella stevensii. RNAcentral describes it as "partial 16S ribosomal RNA". It matches the Rfam family "Bacterial small subunit ribosomal RNA", at positions 338 to 795 of the family's 1533-position model. The record is from RNAcentral. Lineage: Bacteria; Pseudomonadati; Pseudomonadota; Gammaproteobacteria; Oceanospirillales; Halomonadaceae.
CCUACGGGCGGCUGCAGUGGGGAAUAUUGGACAAUGGGGGGAACCCUGAUCCAGCCAUGCCGCGUGUGUGAAGAAGGCCCUCGGGUUGUAAAGCACUUUCAGUGAGGAAGAACGCCUGGUGGUUAAUAUCCAUCAGGAAAGACAUCACUCACAGAAGAAGCACCGGCUAACUCCGUGCCAGCAGCCGCGGUAAUACGGAGGGUGCGAGCGUUAAUCGGAAUUACUGGGCGUAAAGCGCGCGUAGGUGGCUUGAUAAGCCGGUUGUGAAAGCCCCGGGCUCAACCUGGGAACGGCAUCCGGAACUGUCAAGCUAGAGUGCAGGAGAGGAAGGUAGAAUUCCCGGUGUAGCGGUGAAAUGCGUAGAGAUCGGGAGGAAUACCAGUGGCGAAGGCGGCCUUCUGGACUGACACUGACACUGAGGUGCGAAAGCGUGGGUAGCAAACAGGAUUAGAUACCCCAGUAGUC